AAGGUGGCCUGUGAGGGAUGCUGGAGGUAUCAGAAGUGCGAAUGCUGACAUAAGUAACGAUAAAGCGGGUGAAAAGCCCGCUCGCCGGAAGACCAAGGGUUCCUGUCCAACGUUAAUCGGGGCAGGGUGAGUCGACCCCUAAGGCGAGGCCGAAAGGCGUAGUCGAUGGGAAACGGGUUAAUAUUCCCGUACUUGGUGUUACUGCGAAGGGGGGACGGAGAAGGCUAUGUUGGCCGGGCGACGGUUGUCCCGGUUUAAGCGUGUAGGUGUGUGUUCCAGGUAAAUCCGGUUCACUUUAACACUGAGGCGUGAUGACGAGGCACUACGGUGCUGAAGCAACAAAUGCCCUGCUUCCAGGAAAAGCCUCUAAGCAUCAGGUAACAUCAAAUCGUACCCCAAACCGACACAGGUGGUCAGGUAGAGAAUACCAAGGCGCUUGAGAGAACUCGGGUGAAGGAACUAGGCAAAAUGGUGCCGUAACUUCGGGAGAAGGCACGCUGACACGUAGGUGAAGUGAUUUACUCACGGAGCUGAAGUCAGUCGAAGAUACCAGCUGGCUGCAACUGUUUAUUAAAAACACAGCACUGUGCAAACACGAAAGUGGACGUAUACGGUGUGACGCCUGCCCGGUGCCGGAAGGUUAAUUGAUGGGGUCAGCGCAAGCGAAGCUCCUGAUCGAAGCCCCGGUAAACGGCGGCCGUAACUAUAACGGUCCUAAGGUAGCGAAAUUCCUUGUCGGGUAAGUUCCGACCUGCACGAAUGGCGUAAUGAUGGCCAGGCUGUCUCCACCCGAGACUCAGUGAAAUUGAACUCGCUGUGAAGAUGCAGUGUACCCGCGGCAAGACGGAAAGACCCCGUGAACCUUUACUAUAGCUUGACACUGAACAUUGAGCCUUGAUGUGUAGGAUAGGUGGGAGGCUUUGAAGUGUGGACGCCAGUCUGCAUGGAGCCGACCUUGAAAUACCACCCUUUAAUGUUUGAUGUUCUAACGUGGACCCGUAAUCCGGGUUGCGGACAGUGUCUGGUGGGUAGUUUGACUGGGGCGGUCUCCUCCUAAAGAGUAACGGAGGAGCACGAAGGUUGGCUAAUCCUGGUCGGACAUCAGGAGGUUAGUGCAAUGGCAUAAGCCAGCUUGACUGCGAGCGUGACGGCGCGAGCAGGUGCGAAAGCAGGUCAUAGUGAUCCGGUGGUUCUGAAUGGAAGGGCCAUCGCUCAACGGAUAAAAGGUACUCCGGGGAUAACAGGCUGAUACCGCCCAAGAGUUCAUAUCGACGGCGGUGUUUGGCACCUCGAUGUCGGCUCAUCACAUCCUGGGGCUGAAGUAGGUCCCAAGGGUAUGGCUGUUCGCCAUUUAAAGUGGUACGCGAGCUGGGUUUAGAACGUCGUGAGACAGUUCGGUCCCUAUCUGCCGUGGGCGCUGGAGAACUGAGGGGGGCUGCUCCUAGUACGAGAGGACCGGAGUGGACGCAUCACUGGUGUUCGGGUUGUCAUGCCAAUGGCACUGCCCGGUAGCUAAAUGCGGAAGAGAUAAGUGCUGAAAGCAUCUAAGCACGAAACUUGCCCCGAGAUGAGUUCU
RNAcentral lists this ribosomal RNA (1576 nucleotides) under Salmonella enterica. RNAcentral's name for it is "bacterial LSU rRNA". It matches the Rfam family "Bacterial large subunit ribosomal RNA", at positions 1253 to 2812 of the family's 2925-position model. Lineage: Bacteria; Pseudomonadati; Pseudomonadota; Gammaproteobacteria; Enterobacterales; Enterobacteriaceae. The record is from RNAcentral.